GGACCCGCACAAGUAGUGGAGCAUGUGGUUUAAUUCGAAGAUACGCGCAGAACCUUACCAACACUUGACAUGUUCGUCGCGACUCUAAGAGAUUAGAGUUUUCGGUUCGGCCGGACGAAACACAGGUGCUGCAUGGCUGUCGUCAGCUCGUGUCGUGAGAUGUUGGGUUAAGUCCCGCAACGAGCGCAACCCUCACUUUAGUUGCCAUCAUUAAGUUGGGCACUCUGAAAGAACUGCCAGUGAUAAGCUGGAGGAAGGUGGGGAUGACGUCAAGUCCUCAUGGCCCUUACGUGUUGGGCUACACACGUGCUACAAUGGUAUCUACAACAGGAAGCAAGACGGCGACGUUAAGCAAAUCCUUAAAGAUACCUCAGUUCGGAUUGCACUCUGCAACUCGAGUGCAUGAAGCCGGAAUUACUAGUAAUCG
This 427-nucleotide ribosomal RNA is filed under the name uncultured bacterium. RNAcentral describes it as "bacterial SSU rRNA". It matches the Rfam family "Bacterial small subunit ribosomal RNA", at positions 917 to 1344 of the family's 1533-position model. The record is from RNAcentral.